This is a long non-coding RNA of Talpa occidentalis (Iberian mole), 712 nucleotides long. RefSeq lists it as uncharacterized. The record is from RefSeq and is a predicted model, not a curated record. Lineage: Eukaryota; Metazoa; Chordata; Mammalia; Eulipotyphla; Talpidae. The transcript has 5 exons.
GUGACAAAAGGGCAGAAAGAUCUUUUCCUGAGGGCUGAAUGCCUUGAAUGAAGAUAGGGUAGAAAAAACUCCUGAAGGGUCUUCCAGAGGGACCAGACCUCCGAUGGGACUUUUCUCUGAGGACACCAAAGACCCCCACUCACUGAAUCUAACACCUGUCUGAAAUGAUGUCAAUAAUCAGGGGCACCUCACCUUUUCAAACUGCAAAGCCUUCCUGCCACAGACCUUGCUGUUUCCUGUGAUCCUGCAUGGAAGCCUGGUGUGGGGAGCAGUGCCCUCACCUCCUGACUAUUCAUCUUCAGGAAGCUGAUUCAAUGCCUACAAGAACCCAGAAAUAAGUGUUCCAAUUUUCCAGCUGGUAUUUCUUUAUUCAUAAGGUCUGCAGUUUCUAACUUGACCGUCAACCUCACCACGGGACAGGAGGUAGUGGUGUGGACAGUUUCCAGGCUCUUCCCUCACCAUGAGGGCACAUGUUUCCACAGAGCAGGGACCCAGGAAGACGCCAUGAUUUCCUCCACUGUGUAGCAUGGUUGAAAUACAAAAAGAUAUUUUGCAACAAGUCAAAUGGAGUUGGAAAACUGUAAUUUUCAUCUGCUUUGGAAAUAAGCCAACUAUAAGAGAAGACAUUAAAAAAGACUUGGAUGAUGAUCAAAUUUGAGUCCACCAUAAAGGCAUAUACAUCUGGCAAGAAUUUAAACUUAAUAAAAUUUGA